CCCUGGUUAGCUCAGUUGGUAGAGCGCUCCACCUGUAAUGGAGAGGUCCCGGGUUCGAUCCCCGGACCAGGCG
RNAcentral lists this transfer RNA (73 nucleotides) under Ixodes scapularis (black-legged tick). It matches the Rfam family "tRNA". Rfam says of the family: Transfer RNA (tRNA) molecules are approximately 80 nucleotides in length. Their secondary structure includes four short double-helical elements and three loops (D, anti-codon, and T loops). The record is from Rfam by way of RNAcentral. Lineage: Eukaryota; Metazoa; Arthropoda; Arachnida; Ixodida; Ixodidae.